Long non-coding RNA from Diachasma alloeum, 271 nucleotides. RefSeq lists it as uncharacterized. The transcript has 4 exons. The record is from RefSeq and is a predicted model, not a curated record. Lineage: Eukaryota; Metazoa; Arthropoda; Insecta; Hymenoptera; Braconidae.
UUCAGUCGCUGAAAAGACACGAACAUCAUCAGAGAAAGGAGCUCCCAUCAGUCCUGAACUGAUGCUACUGCAGGAAGAAUCAGCUAAAAAGCCACGAAUCACACCAGAAGUCACUGCAGUGCACAGUCAAUCUGAAUCGCCAUCAGGCAAUCGAAGGAAAAGGGAAGAAUCCCCAAAUCGUGAAGAUAUGAAUAAUAGUUCAGAUCCUACAGUCAGACCUCCUAAAAAGCCACGAAUCAUAACAGAAGUCACUGCGGUGCACAGUCAAUCU